ACGGAAGGCAGCAGUGGGGGAUAUUGCACAAUGGGCGAAACCCUGAUGCAGCGACGCCGCGUGAGCGAAGAAGUAUUUCGGUAUGUAAAGCUCUAUCAGCAGGGAAGAAAAUGACGGUACCUGACUAAGAAGCUCCGGCUAAAUACGUGCCAGCAGCCGCGGUAAUACGUAUGGAGCAAGCGUUAUCCGGAUUUACUGGGUGUAAAGGGAGCGUAGACGGGACAGCAAGUCUGAUGUGAAAUGCGGGGGCUCAACCCCUGAACUGCAUUGGAAACUGUUGACCUUGAGUGCCGGAGAGGUAAGCGGAAUUCCUAGUGUAGCGGUGAAAUGCGUAGAUAUUAGGAGGAACACCAGUGGCGAAGGCGGCUUACUGGACGGUAACUGACGUUGAGGCUCGAAAGCGUGGGGAGCAAACAGGAUUAGAUACCCUGGUA
Molecule: ribosomal RNA, 434 nt
Filed under: uncultured Lachnospiraceae bacterium
Lineage: Bacteria; Bacillati; Bacillota; Clostridia; Lachnospirales; Lachnospiraceae
Description: bacterial SSU rRNA
Rfam family: Bacterial small subunit ribosomal RNA
Source: RNAcentral